GGCAGCAGUGGGGAAUCUUCGGCAAUGGGGGAAACCCUGACCGAGCAACGCCGCGUGAGGGAUGAAGGUUUUCGGAUCGUAAACCUCUGUCUUUGAGGACGAUAAUGACGGUACUCAAGGAGGAAGCCCCGGCUAACUACGUGCCAGCAGCCGCGGUAAUACGUAGGGGGCGAGCGUUGUCCGGAAUUACUGGGCGUAAAGGGCGUGUAGGCGGCCUGUUAAGUCAGGCGUGAAAACCCCGGGCUUAACCUGGGGAUUGCGUUUGAAACUGGCGGGCUUGAGGGCAGGAGAGGAAAGUGGAAUUCCCGGUGUAGCGGUGAUAUGCGUAGAUACCGGGAGGAACACCAGUGGCAAAGGCGGCUUUCUGGACUGCACCUGACGCUGAGGCGCGAAAGCCAGGGGAGCGAACGGGAUUAGAUACCCCGGUAG
Molecule: ribosomal RNA, 429 nt
Filed under: uncultured Bacillota bacterium
Lineage: Bacteria; Bacillati; Bacillota
Description: bacterial SSU rRNA
Rfam family: Bacterial small subunit ribosomal RNA
Source: RNAcentral